AACGAACGCUGGCGGCAGGCCUAACACAUGCAAGUCGAGCGCCCUCUUCGGAGGGAGCGGCAGACGGGUGAGUAACGCGUGGGAACCUACCUUUUGGUACGGAAUAACUCAGGGAAACUUGUGCUAAUACCGUAUGUGCCCUUCGGGGGAAAGAUUUAUCGCCAAAAGAUGGGCCCGCGUUGGAUUAGCUAGUUGGUGGGGUAAUGGCCUACCAAGGCGACGAUCUAUAGCUGGUCUGAGAGGACGAUCAGCCACACUGGGACUGAGACACGGCCCAGACUCCUACGGGAGGCAGCAGUGGGGAAUCUUGCACAAUGGGCGAAAGCCUGAUGCAGCCAUGCCGCGUGAGUGAAGAAGGCCCUAGGGUUGUAAAGCUCUUUCAGCAGGGAAGAUAAUGACUGUACCUGCAGAAGAAGCCCCGGCUAACUCCGUGCCAGCAGCCGCGGUAAUACGGAGGGGGCUAGCGUUGUUCGGAAUUACUGGGCGUAAAGCGCGCGUAGGCGGAUUAGUCAGUUGGGGGUGAAAGCCCGGAGCUCAACUCCGGAAUUGCCUUCAAUACUGCUAGUCUUGAGUCCGAGAGAGGGUGGUGGAAUUCCCAGUGUAGAGGUGAAAUUCGUAGAUAUUGGGAAGAACACCAGUGGCGAAGGCGGCCACCUGGCU
Molecule: ribosomal RNA, 660 nt
Filed under: Alphaproteobacteria bacterium
Lineage: Bacteria; Pseudomonadati; Pseudomonadota; Alphaproteobacteria
Description: bacterial SSU rRNA
Rfam family: Bacterial small subunit ribosomal RNA
Source: RNAcentral